CCUACGGGAGGCAGCAGUGAGGAAUAUUGGUCAAUGGGCGCGAGCCUGAACCAGCCAAGUAGCGUGAAGGAUGACUGCCCUACGGGUUGUAAACUUCUUUUAUCAAGGAAUAAAGUGAGGCACGUGUGCCUUUUUGUAUGUACUUUAUGAAUAAGGAUCGGCUAACUCCGUGCCAGCAGCCGCGGUAAUACGGAGGAUCCGAGCGUUAUCCGGAUUUAUUGGGUUUAAAGGGAGCGUAGAGGGGUUGGUAAGUCAGUUGUGAAAGUUUGCGGCUCAACCGUAAAAUAGCAGUUGAUACUGGCAGUCUUGAGUGCAGUAGAGGUAGGCGGAAUUCGUGGUGUAGCGGUGAAAUGCGUAGAUAGCACGAAGAACUCCGAUUGCGAAGGCAGCUUACUAAACUGCGACUGACAUUGAGGCUCGAAAGUGUGGGUAUCGAACAGGAUUAGAUACCCAUGUAGUC
Molecule: ribosomal RNA, 460 nt
Filed under: uncultured bacterium
Lineage: Bacteria
Description: partial 16S ribosomal RNA
Rfam family: Bacterial small subunit ribosomal RNA
Source: RNAcentral